This 497-nucleotide ribosomal RNA is filed under the name uncultured bacterium. RNAcentral's name for it is "partial 16S ribosomal RNA". It matches the Rfam family "Bacterial small subunit ribosomal RNA", at positions 28 to 507 of the family's 1533-position model. The record is from RNAcentral.
GACGAACGCUGGCGGCGUGCCUAAUACAUGCAAGUUGAGCGCUGAAGGUUGGUACUUGUACCAACUGGAUGAGCAGCGAACGGGUGAGUAACGCGUGGGGAAUCUGCCUUUGAGCGGGGGACAACAUUUGGAAACGAAUGCUAAUACCGCAUAAAAACUUUAAACACAAGUUUUAAGUUUGAAAGAUGCAAUUGCAUCACUCAAAGAUGAUCCCGCGUUGUAUUAGCUAGUUGGUGAGGUAAAGGCUCACCAAGGCGAUGAUACAUAGCCGACCUGAGAGGGGGAUCGGCCACAUUGGGACUGAGACACGGCCCAAACUCCUACGGGAGGCAGCAGUAGGGAAUCUUCGGCAAUGGACGAAAGUCUGACCGAGCAACGCCGCGGGAGUGAAGAAGGGUUUCGGAUCGUAAAACUCUGUUGGUAGAGAAGAACGUUGGUGAGAGUGGAAAGCUCAUCAAGUGACGGUAACUACCCAGAAAGGGACGGCUAACUACGUG